UACGUAGGCAGCGAGCGUUGUUCGGAGUUACUGGGCGUAAAGCGUGCGUAGGCGGUGGUCCAAGUCUGGUGUGAAAUCUCCCGGCUCAACCGGGAGGGUGCGCCGGAAACUGGGCCGCUGGAGUGCCGGAGAGGUAAGCGGAAUUCCUGGUGUAGCGGUGAAAUGCGUAGAUAUCAGGAGGAACACCCGUGGUGUAGACGGCUUACUGGACGGCGACUGACGCUGAGGCACGAAAGCGUGGGGAGCAAACAGG
This 253-nucleotide ribosomal RNA is filed under the name uncultured prokaryote. RNAcentral describes it as "partial 16S ribosomal RNA". It matches the Rfam family "Bacterial small subunit ribosomal RNA", at positions 524 to 776 of the family's 1533-position model. The record is from RNAcentral.